ACAAACUUGGUCAUUUAGAGGAAGUAAAAGUCGUAACAAGGUUUCCGUAGGUGAACCUGCGGAAGGAUCAUUAAAGAGACAACUGCCCUUUAGGUAGAUCUCCCACCCUUUGUUUACAUUACCGUUGUUGCUUUAGCAGGCCCGUCUUCUGACCGCCGGCUUUUAGCUGGUCCGUGCCUGCCAGAGGACCCCAAACUCAUGAUUUCAAGUUGUCCAAGUCUUAUAAAAUAGUAAAAACUUUCAACAACAGAUCUCUAGGUUCUGGCAUCGAUGAAGAACGCAGC
This 284-nucleotide unclassified non-coding RNA is filed under the name uncultured fungus. RNAcentral describes it as "partial contains small subunit ribosomal RNA, internal transcribed spacer 1, and 5.8S ribosomal RNA". The stretch from base 1 to 73 matches the Rfam family "Eukaryotic small subunit ribosomal RNA", at positions 1759 to 1831 of the family's 1831-position model. Lineage: Eukaryota; Fungi. The record is from RNAcentral.